This 71-nucleotide transfer RNA is filed under the name Gastropsetta frontalis (shrimp flounder). RNAcentral describes it as "tRNA-Pro". It matches the Rfam family "tRNA". From Rfam's summary of the family: Transfer RNA (tRNA) molecules are approximately 80 nucleotides in length. Their secondary structure includes four short double-helical elements and three loops (D, anti-codon, and T loops). Further hydrogen bonds mediate the characteristic L-shaped molecular structure. tRNAs have two regions of fundamental functional importance: the anti-codon, which is responsible for specific mRNA codon recognition, and the 3' end, to which the tRNAs corresponding amino acid is attached (by aminoacyl-tRNA synthetases). tRNAs cope with the degeneracy of the genetic code in two manners: having more than one tRNA (with a specific anti-codon) for a particular amino acid; and 'wobble' base-pairing, i.e. permitting non-standard base-pairing at the 3rd anti-codon position. Lineage: Eukaryota; Metazoa; Chordata; Actinopteri; Pleuronectiformes; Paralichthyidae. The record is from RNAcentral.
CAAAAAGUAGUUUAGUGUUAGAAUUCUGGCUUUGGGAGCCAGGGGUGGGAGUUAAAUUCUCCCCUUUUUGA